RNAcentral lists this ribosomal RNA (253 nucleotides) under uncultured bacterium. RNAcentral's name for it is "partial 16S ribosomal RNA". It matches the Rfam family "Bacterial small subunit ribosomal RNA", at positions 524 to 776 of the family's 1533-position model. The record is from RNAcentral.
UACGUAGGGGGCUAGCGUUGUCCGGAAUCAUUGGGCGUAAAGAGCGUGUAGGCGGUCCGGUAAGUCCGCUGUGAAAGUCGGGGGCUCAACCCUCGAAUGCCGGUGGAUACUGUCGGGCUAGAGUGCGGAAGAGGGGGAUGGAAUUCCGCGUGUAGCAGUGAAAUGCGUAGAUAUGCGGAGGAACACCGAUGGCGAAGGCAAUCCCCUGGGCCUGCACUGACGCUCAUGCACGAAAGCGUGGGGAGCAAACAGG